RNAcentral lists this ribosomal RNA (486 nucleotides) under uncultured bacterium. RNAcentral describes it as "partial 16S ribosomal RNA". It matches the Rfam family "Bacterial small subunit ribosomal RNA", at positions 28 to 507 of the family's 1533-position model. The record is from RNAcentral.
GACGAACGCUGGCGGCGUGCUUAACACAUGCAAGUCGAACGGAAAGGCCCAGCUUUCUGGGUACUCGAGUGGCGAACGGGUGAGUAACACGUGGGUGAUCUGCCCCUGACUUUGGGAUAAGCCUGGGAAACUGGGUCUAAUACCUGAUAUGACCUUACAUCGCAUGGUGUUUUGUGGAAAGCUUUUGCGGUUGGGGAUGGGCCCGCGGCGUAUCAGCUUGUUGGUGGGGUAAUGGCCUACCAAGGCGACGACAGGUAGCCGACCGGAGGGGGUGAUCGGCCACACGGGAACUGAGACACGGCCCAGGCUCCUACGAGAGGCAGCAGUAGGGAAGGGGCCGCAACGGGGGGAAGCCUGACGGAGCGGCGCCGCGUGAGAGACGAAGGCCUUCGGAUCGGAAAACUCUGUUAUGAGUGAAGAACAAUUGUGUAAGGAACUAGGCACGUCGUGACGGUACCUGAACAGAAAGCCACGGCUAGCUACGUG